AUGAACGCUGGCGGCGUGCUUAACACAUGCAAGUCGAACGAUGAAGCCCAGCUUGCUGGGUGGAUUAGUGGCGAACGGGUGAGUAACACGUGAGUAACCUGCCCUUAACUCUGGGAUAAGCCUGGGAAACUGGGUCUAAUACCGGAUAGGAGCGUCCACCGCAUGGGGGGUGUUGGAAAGAUUUAUCGGUUUUGGAUGGACUCGCGGCCUAUCAGCUUGUUGGUGAGGUAAUGGCUCACCAAGGCGACGACGGGUAGCCGGCCUGAGAGGGUGACCGGCCACACUGGGACUGAGACACGGCCCAGACUCCUACGGGAGGCAGCAGUGGGGAAUAUUGCACAAUGGGCGCAAGCCUGAUGCAGCGACGCCGCGUGAGGGAUGACGGCCUUCGGGUUGUAAACCUCUUUCAGUAGGGAAGAAGCGAAAGUGACGGUACCUGCAGAAGAAGCACCGGCUAACUACGUG
Molecule: ribosomal RNA, 465 nt
Filed under: uncultured bacterium
Lineage: Bacteria
Description: partial 16S ribosomal RNA
Rfam family: Bacterial small subunit ribosomal RNA
Source: RNAcentral